This 458-nucleotide ribosomal RNA is filed under the name uncultured bacterium. RNAcentral's name for it is "partial 16S ribosomal RNA". It matches the Rfam family "Bacterial small subunit ribosomal RNA", at positions 338 to 795 of the family's 1533-position model. The record is from RNAcentral.
CCUACGGGUGGCAGCAGUGAGGAAUAUUGGUCAAUGGGCGAGAGCCUGAACCAGCCAAGUCGCGUGAGGGAGUACUGCCCUAUGGGUUGUAAACCUCUUUUGUCGGGGAGCAAAAGCCGGACGUGUCCGGCUGUGAGAGUACCCGAAGAAAAAGCAUCGGCUAACUCCGUGCCAGCAGCCGCGGUAAUACGGAGGAUGCGAGCGUUAUCCGGAUUUAUUGGGUUUAAAGGGUGCGCAGGCGGAUUUUUAAGUCAGCGGUAAAAUCGUGGGGCUCAACCCCAUCCAGCCGUUGAAACUGGGGAUCUAGAGUGUGCGAGAGGUAUGCGGAAUGCGAGGUGUAGCGGUGAAAUGCAUAGAUAUCACGCAGAACCCCGAUUGCGAAGGCAGCAUACCGGUGCUCAACUGACGCUCAGGCACGAAAGCGUGGGUAUCGAACAGGAUUAGAUACCCUAGUAGUC